This 73-nucleotide transfer RNA is filed under the name Candidatus Gottesmanbacteria bacterium RIFCSPHIGHO2_02_FULL_40_13. RNAcentral's name for it is "tRNA-Ile". It matches the Rfam family "tRNA". Rfam says of the family: Transfer RNA (tRNA) molecules are approximately 80 nucleotides in length. Their secondary structure includes four short double-helical elements and three loops (D, anti-codon, and T loops). Lineage: Bacteria; Candidatus Gottesmaniibacteriota. The record is from RNAcentral.
GGACCUGUAGUUCAACGGUCAGAACGCGAUUCUUAUAAAAUCGAUGCAGAUGGUUCGACUCCAUCCAGGUCCA